RNAcentral lists this ribosomal RNA (402 nucleotides) under uncultured bacterium. RNAcentral's name for it is "bacterial SSU rRNA". It matches the Rfam family "Bacterial small subunit ribosomal RNA", at positions 355 to 774 of the family's 1533-position model. The record is from RNAcentral.
UGGGGAAUCUUGCACAAUGGGGGCAACCCUGAUGCAGCGACGCCGCGUGAGCGAUGAAGCCCUUCGGGGCGUAAAGCUCUUUCGACCGGAACGAUAAUGACGGUACCAGAGGAGGAAGCCACGGCUAACUACGUGCCAGCAGCCGCGGUAAUACGUAGGUGGCAAGCGUUGUCCGGAUUUACUGGGCGUAAAGGAUGCGUAGGCGGAUACUUAAGUCAGAUGUGAAAAUCCCGGGCUUAACUUGGGAACUGCAUUUGAAACUGGGUAUCUAGAGUGCGGGAGAGGAAAGUGGAAUUCCUAGUGUAGCGGUGAAAUGCGUAGAGAUUAGGAAGAACACCAGUGGCGAAGGCGACUUUCUGGACCGUAACUGACGCUGAGGCAUGAAAGCGUGGGGAGCAAACA